RNAcentral lists this transfer RNA (75 nucleotides) under Parcubacteria group bacterium CG11_big_fil_rev_8_21_14_0_20_39_22. Its description in RNAcentral is "tRNA-Arg". It matches the Rfam family "tRNA". From Rfam's summary of the family: Transfer RNA (tRNA) molecules are approximately 80 nucleotides in length. Their secondary structure includes four short double-helical elements and three loops (D, anti-codon, and T loops). The record is from RNAcentral.
GCUCCCGUAGUUCAACGGAUAGAAUACAAGUUUGCGGAACUUGCGAUCCAGGUUCGAUUCCUGGCGGGAGCACAA